UGCAUUCACUUCUGUGAGUCGCUCUGGAUAAGAGCAUCUGCUAAAUGACUAAAA
Salmo salar (Atlantic salmon) is the source of this 54-nucleotide non-coding RNA. The record is from Rfam. NCBI's taxonomy places the organism in Eukaryota, Metazoa, Chordata, Actinopteri, Salmoniformes, Salmonidae.